UCAGAAUGAACGCUGGCGGCGUGCUUAACACAUGCAAGUCGAACGAGAAAUCUUUAGCUUGCUAGAGAAAGUAAAGUGGCGCACGGGUGAGUAACGCGUGGGUAAUCUGCCUCCGAAUCGGGGAUAACAUUGCGAAAGCGAUGCUAAUACCGGAUAAAAUCUGGUUGGCUUCGGUGAACCGGAUCAAAGGUGGUCUCUUUAUAAAAGCUACCGUUUGGAGAUGAGCUCGCGUACCAUUAGCUAGUUGGUGAGGUAAAGGCUCACCAAGGCGACGAUGGUUAGCUGGUCUGAGAGGAUGAUCAGCCACACCGGAACUGGAACACGGUCCGGACUCCUACGGGAGGCAGCAGUGAGGAAUUUUGCGCAAUGGGGGAAACCCUGACGCAGCAACGCCGCGUGAGUGAUGAAGGCUUUCGGGUCGUAAAGCUCUGUCGGGUGGGAAGAACCCACCAAGUGUUAAGACCACUUGGUGCUGACGGUACCACCGAAGGAAGCACCGGCUAACUCCGUGCCAGCAGCCGCGGUAAUACGGGGGGUGCGAGCGUUAUUCGGAAUCAUUGGGCGUAAAGGGCGCGCAGGCGGUUUUGUAAGUCAGAUGUGAAAUCCCGGGGCUUAACCCCGGAAGUGCAUAUGAAACUAUGAGACUUGAGUAUGGGAGAGGGAAGCGGAAUUCCUGGUGUAGCGGUGAAAUGCGUAGAUAUCAGGAGGAACACCGGUGGCGAAGGCGGCUUCCUGGACCAAUACUGACGCUGAGGCGCGAAGGCGUGGGGAGCGAACAGGAUUAGAUACCCUGGUAGUCCACGCAGUAAACGUUGAUCACUAGGUGUAGCGGGUAUUGACCCCUGCUGUGCCGGAGUUAACGCAUUAAGUGAUCCGCCUGGGGAGUACGAUCGCAAGAUUAAAACUUAAAGGAAUUGACGGGGGCUCACACAAGCGGUGGAGCAUGUGGCUUAAUUCGAAGCAACGCGAAGAACCUUAUCCUGGGUUUGACAUGCAUGGAUUAACUCCUGGAAACAGGAGCCACACUCUUUGAGUGGAACAUGCACAGGUGCUGCAUGGCUGUCGUCAGCUCGUGCCGUGAGGUGUUAGGUUAAGUCCUUCAACGAGCGAAACCCUUGUCAUUAGUUGCCAGCGAGUAAAGUCGGGGACUCUAAUGAGACUGCCGGUGUCAAACCGGAGGAAGGUGGGGAUGACGUCAAGUCCUCAUGGCCUUCAUGCCCAGGGCUGCACACGUGCUACAAUGGUGCGUACAGAGCGAAGCAAUACCGUAAGGUGGAGCAAAUCGCAAAAAGCGUACCUCAGUUCGGAUUGUGGUCUGCAACUCGACCACAUGAAGUCGGAAUCGCUAGUAAUCGCGUAUCAGCAAUGGCGCGGUGAUAUGUUCCUGAGCAUUGUACACACCGCCCGUCAAGUCAUGGAAGCCGGCAGUGCCCAAAGUGGCC
Molecule: ribosomal RNA, 1442 nt
Filed under: uncultured organism
Description: bacterial SSU rRNA
Rfam family: Bacterial small subunit ribosomal RNA
Source: RNAcentral